GAAACAAACAAUUCAUUAGCAUUUAAGCGUUUAAUUAGAACUGGUUUAAUCAAUACAAUACUAAAAGUUGAAUAAGAUCAACAAAGAGGGUGUCCACGUCAGAUCAAAAAAUCAGCCAAUCAGGAAGUAGUAUACCGCCACGUCAUGCUGCAGUCAAACAUAAUCAUAUCGGUCCUAUUUAUUUGGGCUUAUAAUAAUCUUCCGAUACAGUUCAUCUCUCCUCCAAAAAAGAAAGCAAUCGUUCUCCGACUUUUGCACUUCUCCAUUAUCGUUCCAAAUCUCUAAAAUUUCACCGUUUCUGACUCAUUCAUUCAAUUCCCUGUGUCAUCCUUCCACCUCCGUUUGUUUCUCUUCCUAUAUAAAUCCUUUGGUCGUAAUCUUUCGUCCAACAAAAAAUCUACAACCUCCAUAGAAGAACAUCAAGCUAUGGCCAUGAAAGCUAUUAAAUCCUUCAGAAAGUUUUCCGUUUGGGCUCCUCCGUCUAUAGAUCCUUCUGAUCGGGUGUGUCCUAUCCUUUUUUAUAUCUUUAGGUUUCAGUUCUAUGGAGAUAUUUAUUUGAUAAUAAUCAUCGAUCAUUGUAGAAUUGUGAGAUUUUAAUAUGUAUUGACUGGAAUCAGAGAUGUUUUUCCACGGAGAAACUCUCAGGAAAGUUUAAGAGUUAUUGGAUUGAACCAUUUUGAUUCAAAACGAAAUUCAACUAAACCUCAAUACUUUUAUAAAUGUUUCUCCGAUAAAUAAAAGAGGAGGUGGAAGACAAGAUUAAGAAGCUUGAGGUUGAGAUAUAUGCAAAUACAAAAACAAGACCUGGUACUUCUCUAGAAGCUGUCGAAGCCCGUGUGAUGAGGGUUCUGAAGCAGAACAAAAUAUAAAUGGAGAUUUGAAAGCGGUUUCUAAAUUAGUUGAGCUACCUAUUCUGUGUGUUCUUGAGUUAAGUUGUGGACUUUUUCAUCUCUGAAUUUUCAACAUCCUUGAGCUGGUUAGGUUUAGAUUCUUUUUCUUUAAAGUUUAGGAUUUCUUCCAUCUUUUAAUCUUCAUCUUUUUGUAGGUCUUUCAAUUCGGUGGCCUGAAAUUCUAACGGGAAAAGCUUGCUUCUGGCUCUGUUGAUCAAAUGGGUCAUAUUUGGAAAAUCAAACCUCACACUUAGAUUUUCCUUCUGAUGCUUUGUAUAACUAUAUUUUCCAAGGACAGAGAUGCAAUAGGCACAUAGAUUGAGGUGAAAGAAGUUGGUGUGGCAAAGUGAUGCAGAAUGGUGAAAUAAACUACCAUUAUGAAACUGAGAAUCACACUUUACAAAGUAGAAAUAAAAUCUUCUACUCACAGGCUUCGAUUCUCAUCAUGUUACAGUAGGAACUUUUAUUCCAGCGGAGUCUAUGAGUUAUGAUCAGUGUUUACAUGCUGGAAAUGAAAAAAAGUAUGGACUCCAGAGGUAUGUCUAUGAAGUUUCCUUCCGCUUCCACAGUUGGCAUCUACAGAUAAAAAAGGGAAGAAGCAGAAGGCCAAAAGUUCCUAGAAUCCCAGAUUAUCAGCUACAUCCUCAAAUGUUCACAGUCUAGCUGAUUCCUACAAUGAGAAAUGUCAGAGCUUAAUUAUUCCCAUGACAGAUUCAGUUUCUAUGUCCUGAGCGAUGAAUCAGGUGGAGUUGAAUAUUGAGUUUAUGCAAAUGAAGAUAGAGAUGAAGCUGCUUUCUUUCCAAACGAUCAACAGUCGAUAGAAACGUUUCUUCAGCGAAACAAGACUGCUCCGUAUACAAAAUUCUAUCAGAGCAUCAUAGGCAAAGCUCUUGGAAUAAAAAAAAAAGAAAAGCUGAGACAGGUGUGGGAAUAAUUAUAAUAAAGUUUGUGGUUUUUCAACUCAGUUUGUAAGGUUGGAGAGACCGUAGCGGUUAGAAUUCUCAAAUUUUGUAAAUUAUUUUUGUUCCAUGAAUUAUUCUCGAAAUCAUACAAAACAUUUAUGAAAUGGGUUUCAUGAGAUUAAAGUUA
Brassica napus (rape) is the source of this 1979-nucleotide long non-coding RNA. RefSeq lists it as uncharacterized. NCBI's taxonomy places the organism in Eukaryota, Viridiplantae, Streptophyta, Magnoliopsida, Brassicales, Brassicaceae. The record is from RefSeq and is a predicted model, not a curated record. The transcript has 4 exons.